This 254-nucleotide ribosomal RNA is filed under the name uncultured bacterium. RNAcentral describes it as "partial 16S ribosomal RNA". It matches the Rfam family "Bacterial small subunit ribosomal RNA", at positions 524 to 776 of the family's 1533-position model. The record is from RNAcentral.
GACGUAGGGCGCGAGCGUUGUCCGGAUUUAUUGGGCGUAAAGAGCUCGUAGGCGGUUUGGCAAGUCGGGUGUGAAAACUCCGGGCUCAACUCGGAGACGCCACUCGAUACUGCCAUGACUUGAGUCCGGUAGGGGAGUGCGGAAUUCCUGGUGUAGCGGUGAAAUGCGCAGAUAUCAGGAGGAACACCGAUGGCGAAGGCAGUGGUCUGGGCCGGCACUGACGCUGAAUAGCGAGAGCGUGGGUAGCGAACAGG